GGGUCGGUAGCUCAGUUGGUUAGAGCAGCGGACUUUUAAUCCGUUGGUCGGGAGUUCGAGUCUCCCCCGACCCACCA
RNAcentral lists this transfer RNA (77 nucleotides) under Zwartia hollandica. RNAcentral's name for it is "Alcaligenaceae bacterium LF4-65 tRNA-Lys". It matches the Rfam family "tRNA". Rfam says of the family: Transfer RNA (tRNA) molecules are approximately 80 nucleotides in length. Their secondary structure includes four short double-helical elements and three loops (D, anti-codon, and T loops). Further hydrogen bonds mediate the characteristic L-shaped molecular structure. tRNAs have two regions of fundamental functional importance: the anti-codon, which is responsible for specific mRNA codon recognition, and the 3' end, to which the tRNAs corresponding amino acid is attached (by aminoacyl-tRNA synthetases). tRNAs cope with the degeneracy of the genetic code in two manners: having more than one tRNA (with a specific anti-codon) for a particular amino acid; and 'wobble' base-pairing, i.e. permitting non-standard base-pairing at the 3rd anti-codon position. The record is from RNAcentral. RNAcentral also lists the same sequence under 2 other names. Lineage: Bacteria; Pseudomonadati; Pseudomonadota; Betaproteobacteria; Burkholderiales; Alcaligenaceae.